CCUCCGUUCAAAAUUUGCAUUUUUCAUCGAAGGGUUAUUAAGAUUCACUUAAAGGAACCUUUGAAGUUGCGUCAGGCAUUCAAGAUGUAAGAAAAGCGCCCUUAAUCCUGUUCCUGGUGGGUCGCGGGAGGGGGGGGGGGGAACCCCGACCUACUUUUUUCCAAUUUAAAAAAUUUCCUCAUCAGUUUUUGCAAGCUGCGUUCACACCCAUAUAAUAAUUAGCCAUAUAAUUUUAAUUACCAUAUUUAUAUAUUUAGUUUAAAUAUCAUGUCAAGUUCGAACUGUGCGAAUAGACAGAACCAGCUAGGGUCUGACGCAUUCCUCAGCCAAGGUCACGGAAACGAUGCAUUCAGCCUCGAGGCGUCCCUAGGAUGAUUAGCUAUGAUUACUGCUCAAAGUUUGCAUGGAUUAGGUCUCACAUGCUGAACAAAGUGUUCGCAAAGCUAUUUUCAUUUAUGAUUAAAGAGGUAAGUAUCGGAAAUCUUUAUUCACUUUUUGCGCAAAAUUAUUGUUCGUGACGCAUUGUGGACUUGUCGGCAAAGCUACCACACGCGCAAACAGCGCAAUCGCAGGUGACCUUCAUUCCCGCAAUGAAUGCUAAUUAACCAUGCUCCUGCAAAGAGCGAAUUUAAGAUUUCAGGCUUUCAGAGAUUCCCUUUCAUACUGCGUUUCAGUUUUUAACGAAUACUCAAGCAGAUAACGUCAUAACGAGUACCCAUUCGCGCACCGUAUGCAAAUUAGCCGUGCUCAAGCAUGGAGCGAAAUUUAGACUUCCAAGACUUUAAUACGGUGUUCGCCUUCGAACCAAAUACCCAGAUUGUAAAAGUACGAAACACGCACGAUAGGGAAAGAGGAACUUUUUGACAGUUUUGUUCCCAGAGGCAAAGUAUAAAAGUGAAGAACAGCGCGCAAAAUAAAGUGAAAAAGUGAAAUAACUUCUACUAAUACGAAUUUCGAAAUCUUUACGAUUUAUCU
Paramuricea clavata is the source of this 975-nucleotide non-coding RNA. The record is from the annotation of a GenBank genome assembly. NCBI's taxonomy places the organism in Eukaryota, Metazoa, Cnidaria, Anthozoa, Malacalcyonacea, Plexauridae.